This 1219-nucleotide long non-coding RNA is filed under the name Homo sapiens (human). RNAcentral describes it as "long intergenic non-protein coding RNA 1819". Lineage: Eukaryota; Metazoa; Chordata; Mammalia; Primates; Hominidae. The record is from RNAcentral.
GAGUAGCUGGGAUUACAAGCACCCGCCACCAUGCCCGGCUAAUUUUUAUAUUUUUAGCAGAGGCGGGAUUUCUCCAUGUAGCCCAGGCCGGUCUCGAACUCCUGACCUCAAGUGAUCCACCCACCUCAGCCUCCCAAAGUGCUGGGAUUACAGGUGUGAGCCACCAUGCCCCGCCAGCCAUCAGAGUUUUAUAGCAAGAAUUUUUACCUUUGUCCUUAGUGCAAUGGGAAAUCCUUGAAACGCUAUUAUUGCCUUCCUCUGCAAGGAAAGGUUAUUUUGGUGAGCAGUGGAUAGAGGAAAUGCAGAGGGAGCCACUAAAGGGUUCUGGUGAGAUCUGGAGCCCUGCUGGGAUAAUCUGACCAGAGAAAGCAAAGAUUCCAGAGAGCUAGGCACACUUGCCCUACCUCCAGCUGCACACAGCUGGUUCCAGCUUUGUCCUGACCUUCAGUCUGGCAUACAGGGUAGACCCACUGGUACCUGGUACCUCACUCUGGGGGUGAGGUGGCCACCCACCUAGGUCUGGGUCCUGUAGCAGUUUGGCAGCAACAUCUGGGUGAUAAGAGAAGGCGAUUUGACCUACUCCCAGGGACAAGAAGCUUUGACUCUUCAAGAUCAUAAAGUCUUCCCUCCUGGCCUUGGGUCCUCCUGUUGCGGGAGAGAGGACAAAAUCCGUUCCUCACCUGGACACAAUGAACCUGUCUGUGGGAUUUAGGGAGCAUCAAGGAGGGAAUUUAGUUUCCGCAGACUUCAAGGAAGACUUUCUGGAGGAGGUGAUGCCUGAGAGCUAUCCAGGAGAGAAGAGUGAAAAAAUGUUAAGCAGUGGAAAAACAUGAACCAAACUGUGGCUGCAUCUUCCCAUAGGGCAACAGGGACUUAGCGCGUGCAAUCAAGGAUCUCCAGAUGGGGAUAACCCAGGUGUGCCCAACCUAAUCUCAGUGUCCUUGGAAGAGGGAUGCAGAAGGAGUCAGAAUCAGAGAAGAAGGUGACACGAUGAAGGAAUCCGAAAUUAGAGUGAUGCUCUUUGAAGAUGGAGGAAGGGACCACAAGCUGAGAAAUAGAGGUGGCCACUAGACACUGAAAAAGGCAAGGAAGUGGAUUCUCCCCUGGAGCCUCCAGAAGGAACCAGCUCUGCCGACACCUUGACAUUAGCCCAUUGAGACUGAUUUAAGGGCUGCUGGCCUCCAGAAUUGUAAGAGAAUAAACGUGUGUUGUUUAAGGC